UACCGCAUACGAUCUCAGGAUGAAAGUGGGGGAUUCGCAAGAACCUCAUGCUCCUGGAGCGGCCGAUAUCUGAUUAGCUAGUUGGUAGGGUAAAAGCCUACCAAGGCAUCGAUCAGUAGCUGGUCUGAGAGGACGACCAGCCACACUGGAACUGAGACACGGUCCAGACUCCUACGGGAGGCAGCAGUGGGGAAUUUUGGACAAUGGGCGCAAGCCUGAUCCAGCAAUGCCGCGUGAGUGAAGAAGGCCUUCGGGUUGUAAAGCUCUUUUGUCAGGGAAGAAACGGGUCUUUCUAAUACAGAGAUCUAAUGACGGUACCUGAAGAAUAAGCACCGGCUAACUACGUGCCAGCAGCCGCGGUAAUACGUAGGGUGCAAGCGUUAAUCGGAAUUACUGGGCGUAAAGCGUGCGCAGGCGGUUUUGUAAGACUGUCGCGAAAUCCCCGGGCUCAACCUGGGAAUGGCGAUGGUGACUGCAAGGCUAGAGUUUGGCAGAGGGGGGUAGAAUUCCACGUGUAGCAGUGAAAUGCGUAGAUAUGUGGAGGAACACCGAUGGCGAAGGCAGCCCCCUGGGUCAAAACUGACG
Molecule: ribosomal RNA, 585 nt
Filed under: uncultured bacterium
Lineage: Bacteria
Description: bacterial SSU rRNA
Rfam family: Bacterial small subunit ribosomal RNA
Source: RNAcentral